AUACAUACAUCUGCAUGGCAUUUAGUAGACAGAAAAUAAUCAACUUCAUCUUCUACGUUCCUAAACCUCUUACUGAGAGAACCACACUAAAUUCGCCAGAAGUUAAAUUUUUCGGUGUCGGAAUUUUAACUUGAUCGUUGAAUCCUAGUAAAGCAGAUGUCCGUAGAACUACAAGCACAGAGCAGGGACGAAAUUUCUGUUUCAAGAACAUUGCGGUACGCAAGCCUCAAUCUUCAAGUUGUUUGUUUUUAUAAUUCGUAUUUUAGUUUAUAUUCUGUUAAUUCCUAUUGCAUUUAUUAUUUAUUAGCAUAUAUAAAUUAUCAUAUUGUUGACAUACAUCUAACACAAACGACUACUCCGAGAACAGAACCCCAUGUCGACUAAUUUCGAUUGAGGGUUACGAAACUCUGACGAAAGCCACCUGCAAUGGUACAAAAUGGGUAUGCACAAUCAACAAUUCAAAACAAAGCGGCAGAGCCGCAACCAUUGAAACUCAGGCCGGAGAUUCCAAAUCUGAAAUCCUCAAGCGCGGGGGGGGGGGGGGGGGGUGCUACAAGUGGUGCAACAUCCAGAUUAGCAUGCCUAAGGCUAUGCAACACUAACUUAUGCUCGGCGCUGCGACAUAUUUGGGCGCAGAGGCGCUGCGACAUAUUUGGGCACAGAAGGCGGCGUGACAAAUUUGGGCGCAGAAGGUGCGGCAACCACAGAAAACGUCGAUGAAAGUAUCACAACACCGAAUCAGAUAAACGGAAGUGGUUCUAACCUACCAACAGUCCCAAUCCAAACCCUAAACCCAAAUCAAGAAGGAGACAUUGAGAAGGGCAUAAUCCGGAUCUAGGUAAGAGACACGAAGCCCUGGGACUACACAACACAAAAUGUUUGGAGGGAAAAAACAGGGAGGGAGAAAUGAAAUCGUGUUGAAACUGAGAUGGGGAAAGGGGAUGGCGAAGCGGAUGGGAGGAGAAGGAAAGCUGGUUGCAGAAAGGAAGGAAGGGAAAGCUAGGGGGAGAUAGGAUGGGCUGCCACUGGCCCCAAGCCAUGGCAAGGGCCCCGCGGCUAUGGGGACUGCAACUAAGGGUUUUCUCGGGAGGGAAAAAGGUUAGAGGAAAAGGCCGGACUUUCUCGGCUGCAAUAAUAUUGUUCGGUUUUGCUUUAUCUUUAUAUUUUUUAACUUAUGUUGCUGAACAAUUUGUCUUUCGGUCUUUAUUAUAUAAUGAUAUUUUAACGGGGAAUCUUUUGAGAUUCAUUUUUAUUUGUAAAUAAGAGGGGUAUUAGGUUCGAUUUUCAUCAAAAGAGAAUUUGAAUUACAUUAUUGUCAACUCAUUGUGAGACUAAUCUCAUCCCCUCAUCUAUAGUGUAAAAAAAAAAAAAAAAAAAACAAAGGGUGAAAAAGGAAUUUGGGUUAUAAAUCCACAAUAGCAAUAAUAAUUUCGUACGUAUACAACUUAUCAUAUAUCAAAGUUGAAUCUAAAAUAUUGAAAGGAUAUACUACUACAUAACAAAUCUUAAGAUUUAUGAGUGGUAUCAACUGGUCUUAUUGUGCCAAUUUGAUCGCAAUUGCAUGCUCAAGUUUCGCAACUAUCCGACGUUGAUAUAUGAGAGAAAAUGACGACUAGGGGAUAUUACCUAAUUUUAGUUGUUCGAAUUUUAUUAAUUUCAAAUUAAAAAGGGUUAAGGGAAAACUUAAAGUGGAGUACAAAUUCAACGGAAAUUUAGGCGCAUAACUAGUUUAUUGGUAUUUUACUUCAUUUAUAAGGGAACCGGAUCCUCUCCGAGGCAAACCUUCGGGAUUCUGCUUAGCGACAAACACGGGCCGUUGGAUUUUGAUUCAACGGCUACAAUUAUUAUAACUUUAAGAAUGAUCCCUUGUUUGUAGUCGUUGGAUCGAAAUCCAAUGGUUUGUGUUUGGCACUCAACAUGAUCCUGAGGGUUUGCCUCGGAGAGGAUCUAGUUCCAUUUAUAAGUGAGAGAGUGAGUUCGAUACACAUGUUUGGUGAGUAUGUAGAAUAUUAUUGAGUUAUAUGUCUAAUUAUGGUUACAUUGUUUGACUUAGCCCAUUGUCCACUCCUCUAAAGAGCAAAUGAUUGGCCAUAAAUAAAAAGAAGACCUGGUAUUAGGGGUGCAACUCGGAUAGGUUGGAAGAUUAACCCAAUCCUAACCCAACUUUUACAAUUCGGGCUCGGAUUCGGGUUGAGUUUCAUUCGAGUUCAUUUGGGCUCGGGUUUACUUGAGUCAGGUUCGGGUUGCCCAACUUUUUCAAGUUUAAUCUUGUAACAACUUAGUUUCCAAGAAUUCCUAAAAAAAAUUAAGUCAAGUAGCAUCAAAGCUAGCUAACUUUAAUUUCAUAAAUCAAUUUUCUAUAAAGCUUUAGGAUUUAGAGACUACGAAUAUGCUAACUAAUCAAAGCCUCUUAUUCCGUAAAAGCUUAAGUAAUUAUAAAGGGUAAUUUAUUAAAAAAAAAAUUAGAAAGGGCAUUGGUUUUAGGACUUGUCUCACUUGGGUGUAGUAUGAACAUUAAUUGAUAUGGGUUAUAAUCUGGUUAGAUUGGGUUUGAUUAGUUGGGUUGGGAAUUGACGGGCAAAUGAUUAGCCCAACUCAACCUAAUCAAUGAACAGGUUGAAAUUGGGUUGGGUUCGGACGAGUUAUAAUUAAAAAAAACCCCACUUGUUUGGGUUUAAAGUGGGGUUGGACAUGGGUGGGUUCGAAUUGGCCCAACCCAAAUUGCACCCUCACCUGGUAUGAGCCUUCCCAUUUUAUUUACACAAAAGUCGCACUACUUUGACCUACCAACUUUGAAGCCCAAACCAAGGCUAAGACGACCAUCUCACUUCUCUCUUACUUGUUUGAGGCUUCGGACAUAAGUCUCUCUGAAGUGUGAUUGCCACACAUACGACCAGGGCCUGGUAUAUUGUGCCCCCUUAAAUGUAUACACAUGUGUCAUCCAACACGCUGAGGUCAUUAUUGAGGUCGUGCUAACCGCCUCAAGACGCAGUUAAAUGCCACCUACCAGGAAUUACAGUCACUGUCAACACCUAAUGAAUGAUCUACCAUGCUUCAGCUCAGCGACAUGAUCGAGGCUGCUCCUUCUCCCUAGCCUAUAAAUUAAAUAGAGGCCUUCAAGCUCAAGAUCUUCGUUAAAUUCAAUCUCUACGAUUAAACAAAACCUUGAGUGAUUCUUCAAUCAACCCAACUAUUUUUUCAGCGCAAACCCAAUUGAUCUUUAGCAAAACUUUCUUAGCUCUUCAGCUACAAUCUCAAAGUCUUCCUUCAAAGAAAACACCACCUAUGAUUCCUGAUAUUUAAAACUUUUACAACUCUGCCACCCUAUGGUAUGAUUCAAUUGAUCUGUAAUUCAUACCACCCUGACUUCCUAUCUGAGAUGCAUGUUUUGUACUAAGUCAUAUCAUACACUAGUGAUCUUGGUGAAUUUCUCUAGCCUUAUCUUACUCUUAUGGGCAUGAUCUUGCUAGAGUUUUACUGCUUUCCUUGUACUUUCAGUUAAUUUAUAUUUUAAGUUAUGUAGUUCGACCCAUCUGCUUAAAUUUUACUUUUGUGAACGUUUGUUAUGAAUUUCUCGUUCUAGUUUCUAUUUCGCUUUCAUUUACUUUUUAAGCAAGCAUACACAAAGUUACACUAAAUUUUAAGUCCUCGUUCGCUUGAGACACAUAAAGAAUUUAACUAAACCAACAUCCCAUUCAGUGCUUAAUCAUUUAGUUAAGAAGUUAGAUUAACGCACAACUUACACACACACACACUCAAACAAAAUAUUGUUUGUUGGCAGCUCCAAUAAUGGCAUGUAUAUUCUCUCAUUCUCUCUAGCUAUCCCGCAGCAUUGAGACAAAAAGCAACACAGCAAAAACGUGUUGAACCUCCUGCUUCAUC
This 3882-nucleotide long non-coding RNA is filed under the name Malus domestica (apple). RNAcentral's name for it is "long non-coding RNA (MDOM_LNC004052)". Lineage: Eukaryota; Viridiplantae; Streptophyta; Magnoliopsida; Rosales; Rosaceae. The record is from RNAcentral.